RNAcentral lists this long non-coding RNA (1863 nucleotides) under Triticum aestivum (bread wheat). RNAcentral describes it as "long non-coding RNA (TAES_LNC027143)". Lineage: Eukaryota; Viridiplantae; Streptophyta; Magnoliopsida; Poales; Poaceae. The record is from RNAcentral.
AAGUGAUCUAACUCUAUUGAUGAGCACGACAGUACAUACCAUCCCAUCAUGAUGUUGCCAUCUCUCACACUUGAUGAUUACAUCUUGUUAUUUCUAACAUGUACACCAUCGGGCCAUUGCUUUAUUAGAAAUAUAUUUACACAAUAUGAUGAGAGCAACAUCAAGGAGUCGGAUGCUGGUGCACAGAUUCUCCUCAAAUUCCACAUGCAACCCUUGUAGAGAAGAAUGACAUAUUUUUCUUAGGUGAUUUUUGACCGAGCUCCUACAGAAAAAUUCAAACAAAUCAUGAGGAGCAUGGAGCCAAGCAAACUAAUCAGAGUAAAUCAUGAGAGGAGAAGCCUCUCAACCUACUACAGGGAAUCGAGUCAACAUUAAUUCGUGUAAGAAUUAAACCGUAAUGUAGAUCAACAACCCAGUAGUUGAUAAAAUAACCCUGACACAACCCAUUAAUACAAUAUAUGGUCACAGGAAGUAGAUUGAGAUUGUGCAGAUAUCAUGAUCUACGAACCGUAUCUACGAAUAUUGAUUGCAAAGUCACAAAUAGAACCUCCUCACAUCACAAAACAAAUGUUUCAUCAACAGAAACUCUAGCGAAUGCCAAUUGGAUUAUAUAAGUAAGAUAGAGACAUCGAAAAAAAGAAAAGAUAAUUCAAAGAGUAUAUAUUCUAUUUUAUUACUUGACAUCACAGAGAAUGCAAGUCAAAGAUAUUGCGAUACAUCUUACACUUCUAUAAAUUGACUGCAAGGCACAACCCCUAGCAAAAUAUACAGAAUGAAUUGCUCCUGUGAUCCAAGUAUUGCAUAAAUAGUUGUAUACAGACUAUUCAAUAGUGAGCAUAAACAUGGCAUGUACUAACAAAAUCCCUUUGCAAUGGAGCUUAGUCUGCAUGUCUAUCCGUCUUUUUGUAAAUCAGUUGUGGCCAAGAUGUGCUGACAGCUCACAAGCCUCUCCCCGUUUACCAAUAAAACCAAAGCAGCUCAAAGCAAAAAAAAGAACAUAGAUAUAUGAACCUGAUGCAAUUGCUUGUAACUCCAGAGUGUUGGUAGAGUCGAGAAGAGAACACUCAGCCAAUGUUACAGCAGAUCGAUCUGUAGUCUUUGUUAGGGACGGCACCAUCAUUAGAGGUCCCAAUUGUAAAUCAAUCUGCAAGAGAUGGAGAUGCAACUGGAAGCUUACGGAUUUGAUGCAUUAAAACAGCCAUGGCCCAUGGGCAGAGGAGAAGUGACGGCAGCUGGGGAUCUGACGUGUCACAGACAGCAUGGGUAGAGGAGAGGCGGCGGCAGAUCAAGCCUUGGGCGUGGCAGGCGGAAGCACACUCACCCCUAUUGCACCCUUCCUACUUCCCCGUCCUUCUUCUCCUACCUCUCCUCCUCCCUGGAUCCUCCUAUGUCUCUCUUUUCUACAAGAAAAAUCGAAGCCCCGCCAUGACCUUGAGCUCCCCCUACCAACCAUAGAAAUUAGAUAUUUCCUAAUUGUUUGCAUAAAAAACAUACUGGCUGCAAGAGAAUGAAAGACUAACCUAUUGAUGAGCACAACAGUACAUACCAUCCCAUUAUGAUGUUGCCAUCUCUCACACUUGAUGAUUACAUCUUUUUAUUUCUAACAUGUACACCACCGGGCGAUUGCUUUAUUAGAAAUAUAUUUACACAAUAUGAUCAGAGCAACAUCAAGGAGUCGGAUGCUGGUGCACAGAUUCUCCUCAAAUUCCACAAGCUGAAAUUGAAGAGAAAACUGAAAGAAAGCUAUUAGUAACACCAAUUUAACCAGACACACCACACCACUAAUGACAAAAUAAAAAUUUAGAAGUUCCUAAAGAGGCCUUAUAUAUAAGAAGUGCAAGAUAGUGAUGAAACUACCAAAGC